RNAcentral lists this small RNA (121 nucleotides) under Gibbsiella quercinecans. RNAcentral describes it as "Enterobacteria greA leader". It matches the Rfam family "Enterobacteria greA leader". The record is from RNAcentral. Lineage: Bacteria; Pseudomonadati; Pseudomonadota; Gammaproteobacteria; Enterobacterales; Yersiniaceae.
GUCAUACUACGGUGCAUUAAGGGAAAAAGUAAACGAUGACCCCUAAGGAACUCUACGGUAAAAUACGUAUCAAAAUGCAAAACCGAACCUGACUCGGGCACCUGGCCCGUGUCAGGCUUCU